CAGUCGCCGCGGGAAUACGGAGGGUGCAAGCGUUAAUCGGAAUUACUGGGCGUAAAGCGCACGCAGGCGGUCUGACAAGUCAGAUGUGAAAUCCCCGGGCUUAACCUGGGAACUGCAUUUGAAACUGUCAGGCUGGAGUCUUGUAGAGGGGGGUGGAAUUCCAGGUGUAGCGGUGAAAUGCGUAGAGAUCUGGAGGAAUACCGGUGGCGAAGGCGGCCCCCUGGACAAAGACUGACGCUCAGGUGCGAAAGCGUGGGGAGCAAACAGGAUUAGAUACCCGUGUAGUCCCUGUCUCUUAUCA
RNAcentral lists this ribosomal RNA (301 nucleotides) under uncultured bacterium. RNAcentral's name for it is "partial 16S ribosomal RNA". It matches the Rfam family "Bacterial small subunit ribosomal RNA", at positions 509 to 809 of the family's 1533-position model. The record is from RNAcentral.